Molecule: ribosomal RNA, 399 nt
Filed under: uncultured eukaryote
Lineage: Eukaryota
Description: partial small subunit ribosomal RNA
Rfam family: Eukaryotic small subunit ribosomal RNA
Source: RNAcentral
GCUUGUCUCAAAGAUUAAGCCAUGCAUGUCUAAGUAUAAAUGGUAUACAGUGAAACUGCGAAUGGCUCAUUAAAACAGUUAUAGUUUAUUUGGUAUUCGAAUUUACAUGGAUAACCGUGGUAAUUCUAGAGCUAAUACAUGCGUCAACACCCGACUUCUGGAAGGGUGGUAUUUAUUAGAUAAAAAACCAACCCGGGCAACCGGUUUUUUGGUGAUUCAUAAUAACUUGUUCGGAGCUCAUGGCCUUGUGCCGGAGCCAGGUCAUUCAAAUUUCUGCCCUAUCAGCUUUCGAUGGUAGUGUAGUGGACUACCAUGGCUUUAACGGGUGACGGAGAAUUAGGGUUCGAUUCCGGAGAGGGAGCCUGAGAAACGGCUACCACAUCCAAGGAAGGCAGCAGG